Long non-coding RNA from Crotalus tigris (Tiger rattlesnake), 3499 nucleotides. RefSeq lists it as uncharacterized. The transcript has 3 exons. Lineage: Eukaryota; Metazoa; Chordata; Lepidosauria; Squamata; Viperidae. The record is from RefSeq and is a predicted model, not a curated record.
GACCUACGACCGGUUGGGGGUCACGGCAUUAAAAAGGUUGAGAACCACUGCCUUAAAUCAAAACAUAUAUUUUUCCUAGACUUAUUCUGCAGCCGGGGAAGGAAGAUGUGCUUCCAGAAAAAGAUGCAGCUACUUUAAGGAAUUGCAAAUGGGCUAUGGGAGCAGCUUGGCAGAGCUCUAAAUCCACUGGAGACCACUGAGCUACUGUCUAAAGAACUUGGUGAUCCCAAAUCCUUUUCAUAUCCAGAGAGGAAUUCUGAGGAACUGGUCCAUUUCAUAUUUGCUGCGUUCUCAGUGAAGCUGUCUUCUCCAUUGUCUAUGGAGAUUCUCAGUCAUCCAGGUCAUGGUUGUCCCAAAGAUGCUUUUUUCCAUGAAGCAGCUGGAUGUCCUUGUUUUUCUUUGAAGAUGUUUUGCUUCUCAUCCAAGAAGCUUCUUCAGCUCUGACUGGAUGGUGGGGAAUGGCAGGAUUUAUACUCCUUGCAGACAGCUGGUCAUUUGCAUUCUUUUAGCGAGCCAUUGAAGCCCUUGGAGGCUUAUCUCUGUCGUCAGGGUCACCUGAGUGGUGCAAAUGGGUGUGGAGCCUUCUUCAAACUGUUGAAAGGACGGUGUUGUAUUCUACAGAUAGAUGAUGUCUUCUCCAUUGCUUCCCUGGAAGUCCUAUGGAACUGGUAACGAAUCCCUUCACUUUUCACAUGAUCUUUUUUUUAAAUCUAGUAAUAAUGAUCUUUGUGCCUAUAAUGAAGUGAAAAGUGCCCAGCUUUUGUGGCUGAAGAAGUUGAUCAGGAAAUAAAGAAGUAAAGAAAGGAAUGAAUGGCCAUUCGUGUAUGGAUUGAAAAGUUUAAAUGUUUGCCUUUUUUUAUUCCUUCAGUCUCCAUAGCUAUUAGUUUUGUGGUUACCACUUACACAUUUUUGGCACCUCCAUACAAUGGAAAGGUCAGAUUUCCACAGCUUAAUGACAGGUAAGAUUAGCCGCUAUAUUAAAAGCUUACAAGAGGAAACUAUAGGAUGGAUUUAAUAGAUCUCAUUAAGGUCCUUCUAUAUGUGGAUGCCCCCUUAUCACAGGAGAGGGGCUUAAUGUAGAUUAGUUUGGUCUAUUGUGUUCCCCAUAGCUACCUGUGGUUGUGGAACGUGGACCUUAAAAAAACAAGACAGGAAGAAAAUCGACUGUUUGAGCUGUUUAUUAGCAAAGGUGACUAAUAAGCACUGGAGCACAUAAUAUCAGACAUGUCACAAAAGGCAAAAUCACAAAACUUCAUCUAAAUUUAUUUUGGCCAUAUCAUGCAGGGGAAUUCACUAGACAAAGCAACCAGUUUUUUGAAAGAGUUGGUAGUAAAAUGAAACCAGGCCAUCAGAGGACAUGAGGGCAGUACACUAUCAAAGCUGACACCAGCCAGACCAUAGAAAAAUUCAAAGAAAUGGUGCAAGUUCAGAAGGUGUGGAGAAACCGGGUCCAAUGAAUUGUCAAGAGUCAGGCUCAUCAUCGUCAUCAUCAUUGUCAUCACCACCAUCAUCUGUCCUCUGCUAAUUUAUAUUGAGCCAACACAUUUGAGGAGGACUCCCAGGGCCUGUUUGGGAGCUGAAUUUUCUUCAAGGAUGACUCUGUCAUUUCAGAUUGUUGAAGAAAGCAAGCCACUUGCAUCAAUGCAGGCAGGAGGGGAACUCAUCCUGCAGCUACUGUUGCACAGCCUCUGACUUUCUUUUUGCAUAUCUCACAUGAGUAGGGCAGGUGGGCAGCAGAGAUUUGAAUGCUGCUUGUUCCCAAUCCAGGGACUGUCCAGUAGCAACAAUGAUCUUAAACAGUGGAAAUUUCAUGGCAGGAACUAAUGUGACUGUUACCUGUUUCAGUAGCAAGUUGAAGUAGAUGGGACAUACUUGAUGCCAGUCUGGAACAGAAAUCAGAAAUCAGGACAGUAGUUGCACUUUCCAUAAAAUGCACCAUCAUAAAUCAAAGGAGAAGGUGUACACCUGUAUAUAAUUUGCAUGUGCUGUUUUGCAGAUACUCCAUGUAGUCUUAGACAUAGUUACUGUAAUUUAAAUACAAGUAAAAACCCUGUAUCAAAUAAGACUAUGACUCAGUAUCUUAUCUGUUUGAUCCCUCUGUUUGACAGGUACUAAAAUGGUUAAAGCUGUUAAUAACAAUGAUUUUCCAUAUAUGCCGGCUCUUCUGCUUAAGUUAAUACAGUAGUCAAAGCUGCUAAUAGAAACACAUCUAUUAACAAUAACAUUUGACUGGGGAAUAGAAUAGAAUAGAAUAGAAUAGGAAAGGACCUUGGAGGUCUUCUAGUCCAGUCCCCUGCACAAGCAGGAGAACCUAUGCCAUCUCAGACAAGUAACUGUCCAAUCUUUUCUUAAAAACCUCCAGUGAUGGAGCACCCACAGUGUCUGAAGGCAAUCAGAUCAUUCAGACCAAUUUGGUUGAGAAACCUGUGAUCUUACAGAGGUUGCUGAACUGCCUUUCCUAGUAAUUUCCAUUCUGGAUACAAAGGUUUGUUGCAAAUAAGGCAAUCUUCUUAAGAUGGAAACAUGUCUAUCUAAAGCCAGCAAAUUGUUCAUAGUUUGUUUUGAAUGAUGCUUUCAUUAGUAAUCACCACAUAGAACAUUUUUGUAGCACUUCACACACGUCUGUCUAUCUGUCUUCAGGUUCUCUGUCGCACCAGUACCAUUUUGUACCACACUUUUCAUGUAUUCAGACAGUUUCUUCUUGUUAAUAUUUGGUGAAAUUCACCCAGAAUACUAGUUUGCAAUGUGAACUUUUAGAAUUUACAAUAAAUGCGCCUCGUGCUCUGUUUUGUAUUAGCACUCUCAGAUUUUUCCUUUGCAGUAAAGGAGUAUAUGUCAAAGGCUGUCUCAUGAUUCUAAUGGGUAUUUUGUUUCAUGCCCGACAUGUGGUAUAAAGUGUACAUAGUUGUAUCAGAUGAGAAUCAUAGGGUGAAUGCAUUUCAGCUUGUCAGAACUUCGUACAUCUCUACUUUUUUCUGCUCACAACAAUCACUGGAAAGAAGUGGAAGCCUGACUUUUUUUGUCAUGGUAGUAUAAAGCUUUGAGUUAAGCUCAACUUGGUAAUUCUGUCCAUACAGUUUUUUGGGGCAGCAUUGUGAAAGUGCUUUGUCACUGGCUUCUUCUGGAGUGGUUUUUCUCCCCCAGCUUUCUACUCUAGCCUGAGUUAUUAAUGGAAAAACACUGAUCUGGAACAGAAUUACAGAUGAGGCUUCCCGCCCUUCAGGUACCUCUGUGGUGGAUGUAUUUGUGACACGUGCAUGCUUAUGCAUCUGCUUGGUCUUUGGACAUUGAUCUGAAAGAAAUACAGCUCUCACGCCCUAGAUGUCCGGCCAUACAAGGCUUUAGAGUCUAACCAGGUGGAAUAACAACGAACUGUAUGCUAGUAUGCAACUUGCACAGAAUAGGUGAAAACUGGAGAAAAUUUUAGGGGUGUGAAUGGUGCUCUGGAUUUCUCUCCUGCCUAUAAUCAACUCUCCAACCCUUUAUUUUUCUUCUUGUA